AGGGUGGAAGGUGGGGUUUCACAACCAGGGAGUUUUGUCAUGUCCCAUCCAGAUUUCCGUUGGCUAACCUCAGCCUUAUCUUCCUGCUUUGGGCUUCCUCCUGCUGGAGCCCAGGGGCCCUUCAAAACAGCCAGCCUUCCUGCUCGCAGCCUCAGUGCCCAGUUCUCCACCACUCAGGGAGCUUCGCCCAGCAAGCUGAGCUCCGGCUGGCCCCUACUCCUCCCAGCAUCCCUCAGGGCCUCAGGUACAGUAUGGGGCUGAAUCUCCUUCUAGUCUGGGGCAGGGGAGGGCCACGAGUGGGCUCGGUUGGGAUUCCACCUCCAGAUCAGCACAGAGGAUGGGGUAGGGGGGAUCCCAAAGGGGGAACUCUUCUAGAGAUCAUCCUGGGAAGUUGUAAGACUAUUUCUAGGGCUGGAAGGGACCUCAGAUCAAAUCUAAUCUCUGGAUUUUGGAGGGACCUGAAGCCCAGGGAGGAGAAAAUACUUGACUAAGAUCACACAUGGGAUCAUAGGAUCAGGCAAUCUGCUUCAAUUCCCUCGUUUUACAGAGGAGGAAACUGAGGCCCAAGGAGGGGAAGUUACUCGGCCAAGGUUGACUUGAACCAGUCCUGUGACUUCACUUGAGCUAAGAGUAGGUGGAGGGAGUAGGGGCUGCCCUCAUCCCUUGCCUUUGGUCCUACCUGAGGCUUGCUGGGAGGUGUUAUAAAGGGAGGGAGAAGGUUAGAGAUCUGCUCCCUUCUGUCUUGGAGUCCUUGAGGAUCAGGGAAGUGCGCAAUGCUUCCAACACAACCUGACCCAUUACACUCUGUACGGAGCCCCUCCCUUGGGAAAGUACAAAAUAAAAAUGGCAGCCCAAGCCUUCUGGGCUGGACUGUCCCUUCCUGUAACCAUCUACAUGGAGUGAGUAACUGUAGGAGGCUGAAACCAAACCUCACCCCCAUCAACCCAUCAGGAGCCCCCAGUGCUAGACUCAAGGCAGUCUGGAACAGAGGAAAUCUUGGAUGAGCCCUGGAGUUGGGAUCAGACAAGUUGAGGUUGAGUCCCUGGUGUGCUGUUUACUGUCUGGGUGACCUUAGGUAAGUCAUGGCUUCUAAGAGUCUCCCUUUCUUCCUCUGGAUGACAAGGCUAUUAGAUCAUGGGAUCUUAGAUUUACAGCUGACAGGGAUUCAGAGGGCACUGAGUGGGUUCAACCCCCUCAUUUUACAGAUGGGGAAGCUGAGGCCCAGAAGGAUUGUUUGUAUUAUCUCCAAGGUCUCUUCUACCUUGAAACACUCUGACCCCCCUCUGGAGGUUAAAGCACCAUCUCCAUGAUGACCUGGGAGAUAGAAAUUCUGAUAUUCUCUGUGGGAGGGAAACGAUAGGGAAUAACCAGCUCCCAAAGCCUUCUGGGAAUUGGGUUCUGUGCUUAGAUAAGCAGAGGGGUUCAGGGACUCAGGUUGGGGAAGUUUGGGAAGGGGGAGGCAGUGUGGGAGGCAUGUGAGAAGCACAGGACCUGAGAGGAGGAGGAGGAGAAGUGAAAGAGUACGGACCAUUUGGGGGGGAGGCUCCAAAUGCCGUGGCGGAGAGUCUGGGUCGAAGGGCAGUGGGAGGCCCAGAAAGCAUGGGCAUUGGACGUGGGUGGUGGUGCUGAGGGGGUGGGUCGCAGUAGGCAUGGCCGAGUUUCCAGGCAUGGGCUUGGAUGGUUCACUGUCAACUGGGACACGAAGUCCAGGGUCAGUUUGGGGGCCGUUCUGGGCUCUGGGUGACUUCCCUAGUUUCGAAAUAAUGUUGGGAGUUGGGUGGGGAUAGGAUGGGCCCUGCCUACACUUGGAAAGAUCUGUUGCUUGCCAGGUUCCUGCCCUCAGUUAAGAUUGGAGUCCCGGCUUCUGAGAACUUCUCAGGGACUUGCUUCAAUGGACCUGGAGGUCCCUCGCCCCUCGGCUGUCUUUAGAGACCACUGUGGUCUUCUUGUAGUCUCCCUGCCUCUCCUGGCCCACCCCAGAAUUCCCCAAGUCUCUGUAGGCUCUCAAUGACCUUGUGGCUCUCCUGGCCAUCUCUCCACUCGCUGGAUGCCCGAGUCUUCUCAGAGGACCUGUCCUCCUCCCCCAGUGAAGGACGGCGACUUGGGCUGUUCCUGGGACCCAUCAUCUCAUGACCUAGCUCUGCUUCCCAAGGCAGACGCUGCCAAAGCUGGGAGAUGCUGGGAUGAUGGAGACGAUCCAGCGAGAUCACAGAGGGCUCAGCAAGGUGUCAAGCCUGGGCAGAGCCUUAGACUUAAAUGGGUUAGAGUUGGAGAAACCGAGAGGAAGUGACUGGUCCAAGGCCACCUCCAACGUGAGUUAUUAGCAGGUUCAUAUUGUAGCCCAUGUCUCCAGACUCACCGAUCAUGGGAUAGUCUCUUCUCUGCUCUGGGCCUUGGUUUCCCCAACUGUAAAAUGAGGAGGUUGGGCUACAUGAUCUCCAAGGUCUCUUCUUGCUGCGAUUCUGUGGUGCUUUCCCUUGCUAACAGGAUCCCCUGGCCCCUCUGAAAACUCCAUCUGGAGAGCCAAAGGAGCCCAGGUUUUUUCUUCUUGGGUGGGGAUAGGGGUGGAGGAGAAGUGAUGUUUGGAAGGUGGGGGCAUAACCACACAGUGCUCUUUCCACAGUACAGAGAGGCCCACUUAGGCAUGGAGCUGAGGAGUGGUUUCCAGGAGGGUGCUGGGAUUGCUCUUCUGUAAUGGAAGGUACUUUUAUGCCAGACCUCUCCAUCUCUCUCUGUGUCUCUGUCUGUUUUGCUUAUCUCUCUGUGUCUGUUUCUUUCUGCCUCUCUAUCUAUGUUUCUGCCCACCUCUGACUGUCUCUCUCUCUCUCUCUCUCUCUCUCUCUCUCUCUCUCUCUCUCUCUCUCUCUCUCUCUCUCUCUCUCUCUCUCUCUCUCUCUCUGUAUCUCUUUAUGUCUGUUUCUCCCUGUCUUUCCAUCUCUGUCUCUCUGAACUUGUCUCUUUCUCUUUCUUAGUCUGUGUCUCUCUCCCUCUUUUUCCCUCUCUCCUUCUCUUCCCACAUCCUCACCCCUAGAUUCAGAUCCCAGUUCUGACAUCUGUGUGUCACUUUCCCUCCUUGGGCCUCAGUUUCCUCCUCUGUAAAACAAGGAGGUUAGACUAGAUGGCUUCUGAGGGUCCAUUUCAGCAGCAACUCUACGAUCCUCUGUCUUCUCCCCUUCUCCGCCUCCUUUUCCAUCAUCUCUUUUUCCUUUUCUUCCUGUCUGUCUCUUUCUGUUCCACCACUCCAUGCUUGAACCCGUCUCCACCUUCUGUGUCUGUUUCUGUGUCUGUGUCUGUCCGUCUGUCCAUGUCCAUCUCUCUUUCUUCCCCAGGGCUGCACCUGGCCUGUAAGCUCCCCAGUCUCUGCUCUGGCCCAGAUCCUUCAGUGCCACACUCCGUGUAUUUGACAAGCUGAGUUGGACACUCCGUGUCGUAGAGUGUCAGUUUGUCAAAUACCCCAAGUGAGGCAUUUGCCUAGCAACCCUGGACUGGGGCAGGAUGGAUGAUGGAGAAACUGUCUCUGCCAGCCUUGGAUGUCCAGGCCCCAACCUCCGGAAAGCAGAGCUCUCUCUCUAGAGCAGAUGCCAUCUGGAUCCAGGGGACAUUUGGGGGGGAGUUGGAGACGGGUCUUUAGGGACUGUGGGGUGGGAAGGAAAGCUAAGCUUGGUUCCUGCUUAGCCACAUGACCUUGGACAAGUCCCUUCCCUUCUCAGGUGCAAGGAUCCAAUGAGACAAUUUAUGGAAAGUGCUUUGUAAAUUCUAGAACACUAGAUCAAAGUUAGUUAUUAAUAAUCGCAAGGCUUCUGGGGUCUUGUCCCACUCUAGGAGUAGCCACUAUCUCAUUAGAGAAAGGUAGUCCUUGACCCUGUUCAGGUCCUAGAGCUUUGGGGGCCCAGAAACAGACAACCCAGAAAGCAGUGGGGCACAUACCCUUUCCCAAGGGGGAGGAAAGAGGGAGGGCCCAAGCCCCAGGAACACCUGACCUUAUAGGGCUGGGCCCAGUGGGCUUGGUCAAUUUAUCCAAUCCUGUCUGAUCCCUCACAUUGGGAUGGAUUUGGAGUUGGAAAACCCAAGCCCAAUCCUUGAUUCUCACCUGUGUGGCUGUUGGGAAAGUCAUUUCUCCAUCUUAAGACAUAACUUGCCCAGCUGUAAAAUGGAGACAAAUCAUCCCUGCCUUGCCUAUAUAAAACCUGAAAGUUCGAUAGAAAUGGGAGUUGUCACCAUAGUCUAGUGAUUACCAUUCCUACUCAACUGCUGUUAGAAUGGAAGCUCCUUGAGGGCAGGGCCUAUUUAUUUUUGUCAAUGGGGUGGAAUACAGUGGCUGGUUAAUAAAUGCUUUCUAGUGAUUGCUUCCUUAA
Monodelphis domestica (gray short-tailed opossum) is the source of this 4355-nucleotide non-coding RNA. The record is from RefSeq and is a predicted model, not a curated record. Lineage: Eukaryota; Metazoa; Chordata; Mammalia; Didelphimorphia; Didelphidae.